AUGAGCUGGAACGUUAGGGGCCUCUGCAACCCGGCAAAGAGAGGGGCUGUUGCUAAAUUGGUAUCUGAUUGUGGCUGUAAUAUCAUUUGCCUUCAAGAGACAAAGCUGGCUGUUUUUGACAAAAAACUGGUGUCUGAAACUCUGGGUGCCCGCUUUCAAGACAACUUUAUCUUCCACCCGGCAAAUGGUACCAGGGGUGGGAUGCUC
Molecule: ribosomal RNA, 207 nt
Filed under: Triticum aestivum (bread wheat)
Lineage: Eukaryota; Viridiplantae; Streptophyta; Magnoliopsida; Poales; Poaceae
Description: partial small subunit ribosomal RNA
Source: RNAcentral